RNAcentral lists this ribosomal RNA (484 nucleotides) under uncultured bacterium. RNAcentral describes it as "partial 16S ribosomal RNA". It matches the Rfam family "Bacterial small subunit ribosomal RNA", at positions 30 to 507 of the family's 1533-position model. The record is from RNAcentral.
AUUGAACGCUGGCGGCAGGCCUAACACAUGCAAGUCGAGCGGAUGAAGGGAGCUUGCUCCUGGAUUCAGCGCCGGACGGGUGAGUAAUCCCUAGGAAUCUGCCUGGUAGUGGGGGAUAACGUCCGGAAACGGGCGCUAAUACCGCAUACGUCCUGAGGUAGAAAGUGGGGGAUCUUCGGACCUCACGCUAUCAGAUGAGCCUAGGUCGGAUUAGCUAGUUGGUGGGGUAAAGGCCUACCAAGGCGACGAUCCGUAACUGGUCUGAGAGGAUGAUCAGUCACACUGGAACUGAGACACGGUCCAGACUACUACGGGAGGCAGCAGUGGGGAAUAUUGGACAAUGGGCGAAAGCCUGAUCCAGCCAUGCCGCGUGUGUGAAGAAGGUCUUCGGAUUGUAAAGCACUUUAAGGUGGGAGUAAGGGCAGUAAGUUAAUACCUUGCUGUUUUGACGUUACCAACAGAAUAAGCACCGGCUAACUUCGUG